This 383-nucleotide ribosomal RNA is filed under the name uncultured eukaryote. Its description in RNAcentral is "partial 18S ribosomal RNA". It matches the Rfam family "Eukaryotic small subunit ribosomal RNA", at positions 592 to 976 of the family's 1831-position model. The record is from RNAcentral.
CAAUAGCGUAUAUUAAAGUUGUUGCAGUUACAAAGCUCGUAGUUGGAUUUCUGGUGGGAGCGAUCGGUCUGGCGCUUAGCGCGAGUACUUGCAUCGUCUCCGGCCAUCCUUGGGGAGAGUCUGUCUGGCAUUAGGUUGUCGGGCAGAGGAUCCUCAUCGUUUACUGUGAAAAAAUUAGAGUGUUCAAAGCAGGCUUAUGCCGUUGAAUAUAUUAGCAUGGAAUAAUAAGAUAGGACUUUGGUACUAUUUUGUUGGUUUGCGCACCAAAGUAAUGAUUAAUAGGGACAGUUGGGGGUAUUCGUAUUCCGUUGUCAGAGGUGAAAUUCUUGGAUUUACGGAAGACGAACUACUGCGAAAGCAUUUACCAAGGAUGUUUUCAUUAA